GAGAACAGAGUCCCAUAGACACAUCAGCUCCAUUUAUUAGCAUGAAAAAUCCUUCUUGGAAGAUGCUUGGGUAUUAUCAGUGGUGGGAAAAUGGGGUGAAAGGAAGGGAGUGCAUAAGGACUGAAAAUGUCAGAGCUGAAUCAGCUGCAACACGUGAGGCGCCCCAGGACUCAGCAAAAGGAAAGAUGAAAGUGGAUCAAAAAGACUGCGUUCAGCCAGGAGCGGUGUGUUAAGCCGCAGGCCCACCAGGCUGGGGAAGCAGUUGCUCCAUAGUAUAUUUUUGGGCCUGGGCUGAAGGACAAGAAUUCUUUGAGGAACUACGGUAUUUUCCUGAGCAUGGUACAAGUGAAAGAGGCCAAGUAGAAAAACCAGAUGGACCUGAAGACUUGUGAUUUGAACUCUAUGCUGCCAAAAGAUAAGUCAAAGUCCUGAUCCCUGUCUAUAUUUGGCUGUUGACAGUGAGCUUAUUUGAAAAUAGAGUUUUUAUGGAUGUGGUCAAGUUAGGUCAUGCUGCAUCAGGGUGGACCCUAAUGCAAUGACUGAGGUCCUCGUAAGGUAAGAGAAACUGGAACACAGAUACCCAUGCAGAACACAUACAGCAGUGAAGGCAGAGAGCUGAGGUGUGCUGACAAAAUGAAGAAACGCUAGGGAUUUCCAGCAACAGGCAGAAGGUAGGAGAGAAACAUGGAGCAAACUCUCACUCUGGCCCAAAAGAAGGAACCAACCCUGCCAAAAGGUAAAUUUUGGACUUUUGGCCUCCACAACCAUGAAAGAAUAAGUUUCUUUGAUUUUAAGCCACUAAUUUGUAGUUAUAUACUAUAGAAUCCUAGCAAACUAGUACCAGAGCUAAGCUUCUCAUGUCUACCCGCAUUCCAUUGGCCGAAGCAGGUCACAUGGCCUAACCUAAAAUCAACGUGCAGAAAGAUCAUUCUGGACCAUUGUAUGUGGUUAGGGUGUGGCUACAAAGAGGGAGAUUUGGGAUGAUAAUUUUAUGUAGCCCACAAAAGAUUUAGAUGUGAUCUACUGUCCUUUAGACAAGACAGUGUAUUCUAACGAUUAAUAGUAUCUUGGAUUAAGAGAUUCUCUAGCAAUUUUUAACAGCACAACCUUUGGCAAAUUAAUCUCCAAACACCAGUUCCUUUAAUUGUAAAAUGAGAACAAUAAUAGCAGCAACCUUGUAGGAUUAUUAUUAGAAGUACGUGAUUGAUAUUUAUGAAGUCUUUAUUUCAGUUGUUCACACAUAGCAGGGGCCAAUAAAUAUUAACCUAUUUUCAUUAUUAUUGGUAUCAGCAAAGCAGCAAAGGACAGGUGAUUUUUUUUUUCUAUUGGGACUUUGGAAUUGUGAGUGAGAAGAAGGCUAUGCAUAUGGAAAAGAUUCAAAUUUUACUUUGUGGAGCAUAGUUUAAAUUACAUAAAUGGUUUGUUGGGUGAGUAAAAUUUAGGAAGAAAAAGAACCUAUUUGCCAGAAGAAUAGCCAGUUUAAGAAACCUUAAAACUGAUUAUGAAGGAGGAUGAGAUAAAGCUUUUAGCUACUGAGCAGUAAAGAUGGGGGAAUUCACUUGGAUAAAUAUCAAGAAAGAAGGCAGAAACAGGACUCAGAGUAUUGAUAUCUCUUUGCCAACAUGCAGAAUCUCAUAGUUAUAACAUGAGAAGGUCAUCUCAUGAGUUGACCACCUCAACCUAUGGGAUGAAACUCUGAAUAUUACUAAGAGCAUAGUAAAGGACAGGCCCUUUUAUUUUUAAAAAAUUUUUAAUUAAUUUAUGGAGUAUAUUAGUUACCUUGGGAUUUGAUCAUUAUACACUGGCUGCAUGCACUGAGUAUGCUCUUCAAGAGGAAGCAGUUCAUGAGAAAAUUGAUGUGGUUUUGUGCACUGAUGUUUACCUACUGCAAGAGUCACAACCCAAGAAACGGAACCUGUGGAAAGAGGUCAAAGAAAGAGAUUUGAGAAGUUUUUAUUACUUGAGUUUUCUGUAAAUCACAUGAUUAGAUGAAACCAAAGGGUAUUUUCUUUUAGUAAGUGCCAGACAAAAUAAAGGGAAUGUGGGAAUAUGUGGGAGUGUAGAGACAUGGUUAGUCCUCACUGGGUUGAAAGCAUCAGUCAUGCUUUCAGGCUUCCUUAGGAGAAGAGAAAGCACCAAAAGGAACUGUGGAUAAAGUCUUAUUUCCACAGUGAGGAGGUUUUUGGGAAUAACUAAUAAGAAGCAAUAACUAGAAUUCACUGAGUACUUAUAGAUGAAGCAUGCAUCUAGAAUGAUUACGUGCUUCAUUACAUUUAACUUUUGUGAUGACCUCAUCAAGUUGAUGUCUUUUAAUCUUCAUCUUAUAGGUUGAAACACUCAUGGGGAAAAAAAUAACUAAGUCAAUAGCUGAAGGCUACAUGAGGAGUGGCAGGACUAAUUUUAGGGCACACAUUUUUCACCAUGAAUUAUCCCUGAAAGUAGGCAAAUCACUACCAUCUUUAUGAGCCUGGAAAAUAUUCAGAAGAAACUGAUACCAGGAGGCAAUAGAUGGUGAUCAUAGCAACCAUUUGGUGCAAAAGAGCCAGGGCCUCUGGGCUCAAGGGGCCAAUGAUGUAGAAUUAUGAAAUGAGCCAAAAAUUUCAUAAGCAACUCAUGUUCUUCCCCAAUUUGCAAGCCCAGUCACACCUUUGUUCAAUUGUGACAAUUGUCCUUUUGUUAUGUGUAUUGAUUUAUUCAUUUCCUAAACCUAGCAUUAACAAUUUUGAAUCUUUGAAGAGGGUGCUCUACUGCUUGGAAUGUCAUUUAAUCUCUCCCCCACCCUGGGGGUUUCUGCUCUUCCCUCAAGGCCCAGUUCCAGUGGCAUCCCCUUUUCUGAAGCCUCUCCUGCCUUCCUGGCUACCGGCCUCUGCAACAGAAAUGCUUUCUGUAAGCCACACCGUCAUGAAACACAAUGGGGCAGCUACAGAAAAGAAAACUCACCUGAAACAGGGAAGGAAAGAAGGAAGGAAGAAAGGAAGGAAGGAAAGAAGGAAAGAAGGGAACCCUAACUGCCCAUCCCAUCCUGGAAGUGUGGUACAAAGAGCAGAAGGAAGGGAAACUACAAACGUGUCUCCCUGUGCUGUUCGGGACAGUGCUGAAAGUGGAAGGGGGCCAGGGUCCAGAAAGCUGCAUGACUUCUCCUACCAACAUCCUGGGAGGAAGUUUCCAUAGGUGCUCAGCGUGCAAAGCCUGAGGGGUUUCCUCUUCAUGAUCUUACUCCUUUGAAGGCCGGAUGAGAGAAUCAGUAAGGGAGCUGACUGUGCAGGCUGGAGAGCAGAGCACUGGAUGACCUCGCGGGGACUCUUGAGUGGCCAAGGGGAGCCUUGACCCAGCACUCUUACUUGGCGUGUUCUCCAAGAGCAGUGUCUUCUCCGAAAACGCCUUUGCUUCUUUUUAGGGUGGGGAGCUGGGAUGAGGGCACGGGGCUAUCAGGAAAGGGGAGACUGUGUGACUGCGGAAGAUGGUGGCCAAAGGAAGCGCAUAUCCCCUGUGUGUUUCCCAGCACAGCAGCCAAGAGCCGCUCUCCAAACUUGGAAGGUCCCCAGGCUCCUGCCCUUGGCCAGGAAACUGGCUCCCUUCAGCCGUUCUGCGAAUAUUCUCUUUAUAUUGUGCCUACAGCAUUCGUGCUGCUCCCUCGCUGAUGUUAUUUAAAGCCUGCCUUCUUUUCUUUAAAUAAAAUUUUAUAUUUAUUAAAUUGUUA
Molecule: long non-coding RNA, 3700 nt
Organism: Cavia porcellus (domestic guinea pig)
Lineage: Eukaryota; Metazoa; Chordata; Mammalia; Rodentia; Caviidae
Exons: 5
Source: RefSeq, a predicted model, not a curated record